RNAcentral lists this ribosomal RNA (460 nucleotides) under uncultured bacterium. RNAcentral describes it as "partial 16S ribosomal RNA". It matches the Rfam family "Bacterial small subunit ribosomal RNA", at positions 338 to 795 of the family's 1533-position model. The record is from RNAcentral.
CCUACGUGAGGCAGCAGUGAGGAAUAUUGGUCAAUGGGCGCGAGCCUGAACCAGCCAAGUAGCGUGAAGGAUGACUGCCCUACGGGUUGUAAACUUCUUUUAUAAAGAAAUAAAGUGAGGCACGUGUGCCUUUUUGUAUGUACUUUAUGAAUAAGGAUCGGCUAACUCCGUGCCAGCAGCCGCGGUAAUACGGAGGAUCCGAGCGUUAUCCGGAUUUAUUGGGUUUAAAGGGAGCGUAGAUGGGUUGUUAAGUCAGUUGUGAAAGUUUGCGGCUCAACCGUAAAAUUGCAAUUGAUACUGGCAGUCUUGAGUACAGUUGAGGUAGGCGGAAUUCGUGGUGUAGCGGUGAAAUGCUUAGAUAUCACGAAGAACUCCGAUUGCGAAGGCAGCUUACUAAACUGCCACUGACAUUGAUGCUCGAAAGUGUGGGUAUCAAACAGGAUUAGAUACCCCAGUAGUC